UUUUGGAGUGGGUUUUUAGGGGUGAGGUUUUUGGGGUGGGGUUUUUGGGGGUCACCUCGGGGUCGUGGUUGAGGCGAUAGACGAAGAGCUGGGAGGUGCCGGCCACCACCAGGUUCCGCUCGGCCGCAGAGAAAAAAUGGCAGAAAAGGGAAAAUUCCAGACCGGUGGGGGGGUGGGUCUGCUUGUAAACGGCGUACAUGGCCCCCCAAAAUCACCCCAAAA
Molecule: long non-coding RNA, 222 nt
Organism: Poecile atricapillus (Black-capped chickadee)
Lineage: Eukaryota; Metazoa; Chordata; Aves; Passeriformes; Paridae
Exons: 2
Source: RefSeq, a predicted model, not a curated record